GACGAACGCUGGCGGCGUGCCUAAUACAUGCAAGUCGAACGCUUUUUCUUUCACCGGAGCUUGCUCCAUCGAAAGAAAAAGAGUGGCGAACGGGUGAGUAACACGUGGGUAACCUGCCCAUCAGAAGGGGAUAACACUUGGAAACAGGUGCUAAUACCGUAUAACACUAUUUUCCGCAUGGAAGAAAGUUGAAAGGCGCUUUUGCGUCACUGAUGUAUGGACCCGGGGUGACUUAGCUAGUUGGGUAGGUAACGGCUCACCAAGGCAACGAUGCAUAGCCGACCUGAGAGGGUGAUCGGCCACACUGGGACUGAGACACGGCCCAGACUCCUACGGGAGGCAGCAGUAGGGAAUCUUCGGCAAUGGACGAAAGUCUGACCGAGCAACGCCGCGUGAGUGAAGAAGGUUUUCGGAUCGUAAAACUCUGUUGUUAGAGAAGAACAAGGAUGAGAGUAAAAUGUUCAUCCCUUGACGGUAUCUAACCAGAAAGCCACGGCUAACUACGUGCCAGCCGCCGCGGUAA
This 523-nucleotide ribosomal RNA is filed under the name uncultured bacterium. Its description in RNAcentral is "partial 16S ribosomal RNA". It matches the Rfam family "Bacterial small subunit ribosomal RNA", at positions 28 to 523 of the family's 1533-position model. The record is from RNAcentral.